This 253-nucleotide ribosomal RNA is filed under the name uncultured bacterium. RNAcentral's name for it is "partial 16S ribosomal RNA". It matches the Rfam family "Bacterial small subunit ribosomal RNA", at positions 524 to 776 of the family's 1533-position model. The record is from RNAcentral.
GACGUAGGGCGCGAGCGUUGUCCGGAUUUAUUGGGCGUAAAGAGCUCGUAGGCGGUUUGUUGCGUCGGCUGUGAAAUCCCGAGGCUCAACCGCGGGUCUGCAGUCGAUACGAGCAAACUAGAGUGUUGCAGGGGAGACUGGAAUUCCUGGUGUAGCGGUGAAAUGCGCAGAUAUCAGGAGGAACACCAGUGGCGAAGGCGGCUUCCUGGCCUGUUCUUGACGCUGAGGCGCGAAAGCUAGGGGAGCAAACGGG